AUACGGAGGGUGCAAGCGUUAUCCGGAAUCAUUGGGUUUAAAGGGUCCGUAGGCGGACUAAUAAGUCAGGGGUGAAAUCCCACAGCUUAACUGUGGAACUGCCUUUGAUACUGUUAGUCUUGAGUUAUAUGGAAGUAGAUAGAAUGUGUAGUGUAGCGGUGAAAUGCUUAGAGAUUACACAGAAUACCGAUUGCGAAGGCAGUCUACUACAUAUAUACUGACGCUAAUGGGCGAAAGCGUGGGGAGCGAACAGGAUUAGAAACCCUAGUAGUCC
RNAcentral lists this ribosomal RNA (274 nucleotides) under uncultured bacterium. RNAcentral describes it as "partial 16S ribosomal RNA". It matches the Rfam family "Bacterial small subunit ribosomal RNA", at positions 523 to 796 of the family's 1533-position model. The record is from RNAcentral.